RNAcentral lists this ribosomal RNA (375 nucleotides) under uncultured bacterium. Its description in RNAcentral is "bacterial SSU rRNA". It matches the Rfam family "Bacterial small subunit ribosomal RNA", at positions 28 to 404 of the family's 1533-position model. The record is from RNAcentral.
AUUGAACGCUGGCGGAAUGCUUUACACAUGCAAGUCGAGCGGCAGCGCGGGGGCAACCCUGGCGGCGAGCGGCGAACGGGUGAGUAAUACAUCGGAACGUGUCCUUGAGUGGGGGAUAGCUCGGCGAAAGCCGGAUUAAUACCGCAUAAGCUCUGCGGAGGAAAGCGGGGGACUGGUAACGGCCUCGCGCUGUUGGAGCGGCCGAUGUCGGAUUAGCUAGUUGGUGGGGAAAGGCCCACCAAGGCGACGAUCCGUAGCUGGUCUGAGAGGAUGAUCAGCCACACUGGGACUGAGACACGGCCCAGACUCCUACGGGAGGCAGCAGUGGGGAAUUUUGGACAAUGGGGGCAACCCUGAUCCAGCCAUGCCGCGUGC